Quaeritorhiza haematococci is the source of this 113-nucleotide non-coding RNA. NCBI's taxonomy places the organism in Eukaryota, Fungi, Chytridiomycota, Chytridiomycetes, Quaeritorhizaceae. The record is from the annotation of a GenBank genome assembly.
CCGGCCUUAACUCGGUUGGUAGCAGCGGCAGACUGUAGUGGCGCCUGAAUCCAGCAGGAUCGCCGGCAUCAGCUGGCAUCUGUUGGUCCCCGGUUCAAAUCCGGGAGGCCGGA